GGCUAGGUGAGCUCAGAGGUAGAGGACCUGUUUGUGACACAGGAGACAUCAGUUCGAGUCUGGUACCUGGCCA
This 73-nucleotide transfer RNA is filed under the name Lachnellula occidentalis. Its description in RNAcentral is "tRNA-His". It matches the Rfam family "tRNA". From Rfam's summary of the family: Transfer RNA (tRNA) molecules are approximately 80 nucleotides in length. The record is from RNAcentral. Lineage: Eukaryota; Fungi; Ascomycota; Leotiomycetes; Helotiales; Lachnaceae.